Long non-coding RNA from Xenia sp. Carnegie-2017, 470 nucleotides. RefSeq lists it as uncharacterized. The record is from RefSeq and is a predicted model, not a curated record. The transcript is spliced from 2 exons. NCBI's taxonomy places the organism in Eukaryota, Metazoa, Cnidaria, Anthozoa, Malacalcyonacea, Xeniidae.
GAUCCUGACUCACUUUUCAUCUUCGUUCGUUAUUUAAAUGUGUUUAUGUAACAAAACUCAUAUGGAUAAAAAGUUAAUGUUUCAAUAAUGUACGUAACAUGUAAAGAACUAAAGCAAGCAUAAUUUUGUCCACACGAUCGUCGUAUAUGAAGUCUUAUUUCUAAAAGAAAGGUAAUUUUACGUAAGUUAACCGAGAUUUGUAUUUACAUUUCUAACUUAGCAAAUUUGAUACCGAAGCAUUGCGUAGUAUGAAGUAUGACUAUAAACAAAUCAAUGUUUAUUUCCAUUCCAAAUGAAAAUCGUUUGAAUGAUUCUAUAAGUGACUUUUAAAGCUAUAUUUAAUACCACGACUGGAAAGUAGGUUUCAUUUUUUUUUUCAAAUUAUCCACUAUAAAAAUUGCGGCUCUUACACGAAGAAAAGGUUUGAUAAUAAAUAAUUCUGAGUCAGUGAUGCGCUUGACAUUCACAAA